AAUGCCAAGAUAGAUUUCCAGAGCAUGCUGUCCUCCUGGGACAGUCUGGCUGGAACCACCGUGCCGCCUCUGAUUGGUUUUGACUGCGUUAUCGCCUGGGGAAGCCAAGUUUGGUCUCAUUCGAGCUUGUCAGGGUCACUUAGGCAAAGAAAAGAAAUCCAUUCUUGAAAUCGAAGGAUUUCCUUUCUCCAUACUACUGGAUGCCAGGUUGCAUGGCUCUCUUGGUGCAGGGGGGGAGGCUGGCGACCGGGGCUUCGAGGGGCAGGGUGCCUCUCAGAUGCAGGCUGCUGGGAACAAGGACAGAUGGGCUCUUCCUCUCCUGUUACCGUGUCUCCCGAUGAACCAUGUGCCUGUUCUGGGCUCGAGGUCCCUGUGGGGUCGGAGAUGGUCAUUUCUUUCCCCUUCUUUGGCUCUGAACUCCUGGAGAAAGGAGUUUACACCACCUCUUGGUCCCUUCUUGGUCCUCACCCUCCUUGGUGCCCUAAGGAGGGAGCGGAAGCCUGUCAGUGACCACUUUGGAAAGGUUUUCUGAACAGGGCAGUGACUGCUCGGUCCCAGAACAAGAGGGAAAAAAGAGGGUACACCACAGCAAGUGCCGUCACUACUGGUCUCACCUUGGCUGCCACCUAACCUACUCAGGGCCUCCCUGGGGGCAGCUUAGGAUUUUUUUUGAGCCCAACUCUGAGUUCAGCAUUGUUCCCAUAAGGAGGCUUUUCUUUUCGCCUGUCAUGCCUGCAGUAGACUCUCUUCGCCUGGCCCUAGAAAACAUCGUGAAGCCUGAAGUGGCCUCUGUCACAGGUGCAGGGAGCGCAGACAGACCCCGGCUCCUUGGCGAGAGCAAAACCCACAUCCCCGAGGAGCCUGCAGCCGCACUGUCUGCUGCGAUGCUAUUUUUGACACGCUUGCUCGCUCCCAGGACUUGACAACCGCUGUCUCCAGGAGACAGACAAACCCAGCUCUUGGCAGCAGAGCCACUUUGCUUUGGAAAAGAACAGAGGAAGACAGUCUGGCGGCGGGAGGGGUGGGGACCACGCCUUCCCUCUCCUCCAGGAGGCCAGCACCCGGGCGUCAGGGUCGUGGAUCUGAGGUUGGGGCACCGCUCCCACUGGGACAUCCAUCCUCCCCUCCCGGAAAGUGGUCCUAACGCGAAUAAGAAGGGCACCAUUCAUUUCAAAAAGCAUCUGAAAUGGCUGCCUGCAGAAUUAGAUGCGUGGAUAUAGGUACAGCGUCUAUGCAGCAUGCAACGCCAUUUAACACUGUGGUGACAGUGUGCUCUGUAGCCACAUCUAAGGCGGAUACAAGGUUGGUAUUAUGCUCAGUGUUGCUGUCCUUGGACAACAAGAGCCGUAGGUAGGCAAGGCAUUGUUUUCCUCUUUGGCAGAGGGGACAGUUGGAGCUCAGGGGGCAGGUUCACGGGCAUCGCCUGGCCCCUCACCCUCAGGGGAGAUGUGAUGAGCAGAGGGCAGACAGGGUCUGCUUGGCACCCACAGUCCGAGAGAAUGAAUCCGUGGCCCCUGAAUGUGUGCAGGGCUUUUAUUUUCCUGCCACACUGUCUUUUUGAUAGAAAACCAGUAGGCGGCCUGUGCUCUUUUUCUUCCGGGCUCUGAAAGCUCAUGACUGCACCAACAUCUUUCAAGAAGGCCUUUCUUCACUCUGUCACAUCUUAGCAUCCUUAGGUGCUAGAGCUUUCCUCACAUACUUCCUCGCACCUUCAUCCUUGGGAUAGAUGCAGGGUCUCACAGCUAACAGAACCCAUAAGCUGGACUCAGAUCAGGGUUUUCCUACACUGUUCUAGCAGCUUUCAAGAUCCCACAUCCCUGGUCCUCGCUCUCAGCAUCCCUCAUUGCUCCCUGGCCACCUUCAGGUCCCUGUGCAGGUGGGGUACCUGUGGCAUCCUCGGGUGUGGCCAGCUUCCCUUUCUCCUUUCAGGCAGAGGAUACGGGAGACUCGAGUCAGAAGAAGCGGCUCCCUGACUCCUGUGGGUUGGAGGAGCAGGGGCCGCACCAGGGACCCCCACUCAGGUCAGAACACUAUAGGUGCCCUCAGCUUCUUCCCACCGCCACCACCACAGCAUCCUCUGGGGGACCCAGCCUAGGGUGGGGCGACGGCACCACCCUCCCCAUUCCAAAUUUCAGGCUUCCCGGCUUCCUUGCUUUUGGAGUCAGAGAGCUUGGGUCUGAACCCAGUUUGUAAGCUGCACCUCACCUAAACCCCUCCAGCCUUCAGUUUUGUCGUCUGCAAGAUAAGGGGGUGAAUUCCACUUACCCCACCCAGUUGUUCUGAGCCUGCAAGUUCAAAGGUUUAGCAGCACAGCCCAGCUUUCCCCUUUACCAGGCAGCCGAGGGGGGGCCUCAGUGACAGAGAUCCGCCACUGGGGGUGCAGCUGGAAAAGCACCACCUGUACCUUCAAAGAUGCGGCGGCAGUGGCAGCGGGGUGGGGUGGGGUGUCUCCAGCUGACUGCAGUUUUGUUCUCUGAAACCAAUGUUUAAAUGAAAAUGACCUAAAAAGAGACUCAGGAUAGCAAGCUUCUGAACUCGAAGGCCCUUGGCCGGAAGGAUUCACAGGAGAAUCUUUAAAAAUAAAUUGCCCUGAAGAUGUGAUUUGCUAUCUAGGAGGUAAUCUGAGUGUGUCUUUAAGAACACGAUGGAUAGACCUGUAGUCUUUUUUUCACUGCUUCCAACCAGAAAACAAGGAGGAGUGUCACUUAGCCCUUCCCGUGAGACCUAGGAUUGGGUAGGGCUGUCUCCAGGGUCACGGAUGGACAGAUGAGAGAGCUGGAAGGGGUCGUGAGUGUCCCCUUGUGUGAAGGAGGGGACCGAUGUGGACGAGAAGCAGGACUAACUGGGUCACACAGGCAGUUGAGGCAGAGCUGAGCCCAGGACUCACAUGUUCUGACUCCAACGCAAGUAUAUUUUCCCAUGGAAAAUGGAAGCCUAAAGAUUAUGCAAAACAUCUUUCAAAACUCCAGCUUUAGGAAGUUCCCUUGUGGCGCAGUGGGGAGUUUAGGAUCUGGGGUUGCUGCAGCUGUGGUGCAAGCUGCACCUGAAGCACAAGUUCAAUCCCUGGCCCGGGAACUUCCAUGUGCUGUGGGUACAGCCAAAAAAAUAAAUAAAUAAGUAAAUCAAACCAAGGAGUUCCAGUUGUGGUUGAGUGGUAACGGAUCCAAAUGAUAUCUGAGAGACUGUGGGUUCGAUCCCAGGCCUCACUCAGUGGGUAAGGAUCCGGCGUUGCUGUGAGCCGUGUUAUAGGUCACACACAAGGCUCAGAGCCUGUGUUGCUGAGGCUGUGGUGUAGGCCGGCAGCUGCAGCCUGGGAUUUGACCCCUAGCCUGGGAACCUCCAUAGGCUAUGGGUGCAGCCCU
This 3362-nucleotide long non-coding RNA is filed under the name Sus scrofa (pig). RNAcentral describes it as "lncRNA (ENSSSCG00005043117.1)". Lineage: Eukaryota; Metazoa; Chordata; Mammalia; Artiodactyla; Suidae. The record is from RNAcentral.